AUAGCUCUGCAUCUCCAGAGAGGAUGCUAGCCAGUGAAUUCUGGUCCCAGUACCACCACUACUGCAUACCUUAGAAAACAAAUAUCAUGGCUGGCCCUCUGCUAUUGGACACUAGAUACUGUUGCCACUCCUGAAAUGGAUGGAUUCUCAUCAUUAACUCCUGAUAACAGGGGUUGGCAGUCUGCAUAGAUAAUCCUAGUUCCAUGUUUCCUGGUAAUCCUGAGAUGACGGUAAGUAUCGGCUCAGAGUUGCUCACCUGGGCAUGUUUUCCUCACACAUCUUUAGCCCUACCCUACAGCCAAUGCUGUGCCACAAAUGGCAAGACUGCCCACGGCCACGAGAAAUGUGCACCCUGGAAAGGAAAAGCAUCCUGCUGGCGAAGACUUCAGGGCUUGCUGACUCAUGACCUUUCAAAGUGCAGAGCACGGCACGGUGGUGGCACCAUCUGUUUCAUUUUCCACAACUGAAGUCAGACCCUCCUUUGUCAUGUAUUCGUGUCAUUGACUGAAUUCUCUGCUGUGAUACUUUAGACAAUACUACCAGAAAUGAUCCAUUAAACUUCAGUUG
RNAcentral lists this long non-coding RNA (567 nucleotides) under Zalophus californianus (California sea lion). Its description in RNAcentral is "lncRNA (ENSZCAG00015010260.1)". Lineage: Eukaryota; Metazoa; Chordata; Mammalia; Carnivora; Otariidae. The record is from RNAcentral.